Molecule: ribosomal RNA, 324 nt
Filed under: uncultured eukaryote
Lineage: Eukaryota
Description: partial 18S ribosomal RNA
Rfam family: Eukaryotic small subunit ribosomal RNA
Source: RNAcentral
CCCUUAGAUGUCCUGGGCUGCACGCGCGCUACACUGAUGUGUCCAGUAAGCACCUAACCUAUUCCGAGAGGAGCGGGUAACCUUAGCAAAGCACAUCGUGAUGGGGAUAGAUUAUUGCAAUUAUUAGUCUUGAACGAGGAAUUCCUAGUAAGCACAAGUCAUCAGCUUGUGUUGAUUACGUCCCUGCCCUUUGUACACACCGCCCGUCGCUCCUACCGAUUGAAUGUUCCGGUGAGCUCUUCGGACUGCGUGGUCUGCAGUUUCUGCGUUCCGUGCGGAAAGUUGUGCAAACCUUAACAUUUAGAGGAAGGAGAAGUCGUAACA